RNAcentral lists this ribosomal RNA (468 nucleotides) under uncultured Leptothrix sp. Its description in RNAcentral is "bacterial SSU rRNA". It matches the Rfam family "Bacterial small subunit ribosomal RNA", at positions 8 to 475 of the family's 1533-position model. Lineage: Bacteria; Pseudomonadati; Pseudomonadota; Betaproteobacteria; Burkholderiales; Sphaerotilaceae. The record is from RNAcentral.
AGAGUUUGAUCAUGGCUCAGAUUGAACGCUGGCGGUAUGCCUUACACAUGCAAGUCGAACGGUAGAGGGGCAACCCUUGAGAGUGGCGAACGGGUGAGUAAUACAUCGGAACGUGCCCAGUCGUGGGGGAUAACGUAGCGAAAGCUACGCUAAUACCGCAUACGACCCGAGGGUGAAAGCGGGGGACUCGCAAGAGCCUCGCGCGAUUGGAGCGGCCGAUGGCAGAUUAGGUAGUUGGUGGGGUAAAGGCCCACCAAGCCUGCGAUCUGUAGCUGGUCUGAGAGGACGCCCAGCCACACUGGGACUGAGACACGGCCCAGACUCCUACGGGAGGCAGCAGUGGGGAAUUUUGGACAAUGGGCGAAAGCCUGAUCCAGCCAUACCGCGUGCGGGAAGAAGGCCUUCGGGUUGUAAACCGCUUUUGUCAGGGAAGAAAUCCUUUGGGUUAAUACCUCGGAGGGAUGAGCG